UGUGCUUGCCAGCUCAGCAGAUUUCCAAGAUUCCUUCAUCUCCCCAACCCUGCUGCAGCUCUUUACAAAUAUUUCACCAACUGGCAGUGGUCAAGGGCAUGGACACAGCAAGGCCUUUCGAGGCUGAUGAUUUCCCCCAUCACACACUGCAAGUUCACAGCACUGGUCUUCUGGGAGAGUGAUGCAAUCAAUGGAAGCCGGGAACACAAAUGUUUCCUUUUGAGUCAUAAACUGAUAAACCUGUUUAGCCUGUUUCUAAAAGUAUGAUUGGACUCACAUUUUCUACAUUUAGGCAAAACUUUGGAUUACUUGCUGACAAGUGGCUUGGACCUGGUAGCUAACACUAUGUAAUGAGAAGACUGGACAAUUCUUCAGUGGAAAAAUGGAAAGAAACCAAUAGGAGCUUCAAACAAAACCCUAGCCCACUGAUUGACACUUGCUACUCUCUCUCACGCGGAGCUUUGACGGCUGAGGCCUUAUGGUUAUAAAUGGACCUCAAAAGUCUUUUGAGAAAAGUCUCCAACAUGAGACGCAAAGACCAAAACAAAGAGAAACAAAAGCGAGCAAAUUUCAAAAACUUAUGAUUCCGAAGCACGUCAUCUGAAUGGGAAUAUGAAGACAAGGACUGAGAUAUGUUCUUACAAUUUCAUUUACUGUAAGAACCUAAGUUUCUUCCUUACUAGGUUGCCACCUAUAGCUCAGAGCAUAGGCCUUCUGACAAAGAGAGAAGACACACACACACACACACACACAAUCUGAGUUUUUUCCACAUCUCCGUGUACUCAUCUCCACUGCUGUAGUCCAAAUAGCAUCAUUCCUCAUGGGAAGCAUAAUUGCCCCUCAAAAUGUUUCCUUGCUCUGGACAAGUCUGUGCUAAAGUAUGCUGCAUAGAACAUCCAGAAGGGUCUUUAAAAAAAUAAUUCAACCAUUUCAGGCCCUAAUGAUUGCACAUUCUCAAUGUCUUCUUGCUGGACAUGGCAUAGAAAUUCCGUUCCCAUAUACUGUCCAACAGAGGUUCUGUAUCAUCAGGUCCAUCUGCUUCUUCAGCCUCCACGCAUCUGCCCCUCACCCUUGCUCCUCUCAUGGCUGCUCACAUCCGGGUUCCUGUUCUAGAGCAGAAGCUGCUCUUUACCUGAGGCCUCUGCCCAGAGUUCCUGGACAUCACUGCUCCUUUUCUUCGUUGUUGGUCUCUACACUCUGUAAUUGAAGUUCCAUGAGAGCAAGUACCAUGAAUACCUCAUUUUCUGUUUUCACACCACUUAGGAGAGCACCUAAUACAUACUACGUGCCUGUUACGUAUUUUGUAAUUUAAAAAUUACUUUAGCAGAUACACAAAAACAGAAAUUGGACCUAUGUGUGGUACACUAUGCGAUGUUUUGGUACAUGUAUAUAUUGUAUAAUGUUUCAAUCAAGCUGAACUUGUCUAUCUCCAUGAGCAUUUAUCAUUUCUUGAUGGUGAAAAAAUAUUUAUUGAAUAAUUAAAUCAGAGUACAAAAAGCUUAAAGUUUCAAG
Molecule: long non-coding RNA, 1512 nt
Filed under: Heterocephalus glaber (naked mole-rat)
Lineage: Eukaryota; Metazoa; Chordata; Mammalia; Rodentia; Bathyergidae
Description: lncRNA (ENSHGLG00100035661.1)
Source: RNAcentral